Molecule: small RNA, 355 nt
Filed under: Pan troglodytes (chimpanzee)
Lineage: Eukaryota; Metazoa; Chordata; Mammalia; Primates; Hominidae
Description: processed transcript
Source: RNAcentral
CAGGGAAAGCAGUUGCAUUGUACUUUGAAGAUAAACUCACAGAGAUCUACUCAGACAGGACCUUCGCACCUUUGCCAGAGUUUGAGCAGGAAGAGGAUGAUGGUGAGAGAACAGACUUCUCAAAAAAUCUUCAGAAGCAGCUUAUUAUUGAAAUAUCGAAAUAUUGAAAUAAACCCGGUGGGGUUAGAUUACUCAUCUGUCCACCAAGUGGGACAUUUGCAUGGACUGGGGGCUUAAAGGACUUAGAAGAGACCUGUAAGUAAAUCCUGAAAAUGAGCCAAUCCCCACUUGAAUGGUUACUGGAGUAAACCCACCUUUACCACCCGAAUUACAGCACCCGAGGCCGAUAAACCAA